GAUGAACGCUGGCGGCGUGCCUAAUACAUGCAAGUCGAGCGAACAGACGAGGAGCUUUCUCCUCUGACUUUAUCGGCGGACGGGUGAGUAACACGUGGAUAACCUACCUAUAAGACUGGGAUAACUUCGGGAAACCGGAUCUAAUGCCGGAAAAUAUAUUGAACCGCAUGGUUCAAUAGUUAAAGACGGUUUUGCUUUCACUUAUAGCUGAAUCCGCGCCGCAUUAGCUAGUUGGUAAGGUAACGGCUUACCAAGGCAACGAUGGGUAGCCGACCUGAGAGGGUGAUCGGACACACUGGCACUGAGACACGGUCCACACACCGACGGUAGGACGCAGUAGGGACUCUUCCGCAAUGGGCGAGUGGGUGAUAUUGCACAGUGGCGUGAGUGCUGAAGGUGUUAGGCUCGUAGAGUUAUGUUAUUAGGAAAGUAGUAAUGUGCAAGUACCUGUGAACAUAUUGACGGUACCUGAUCAGAAAGCCACGGCUAACUACGUG
This 497-nucleotide ribosomal RNA is filed under the name uncultured bacterium. RNAcentral describes it as "partial 16S ribosomal RNA". It matches the Rfam family "Bacterial small subunit ribosomal RNA", at positions 28 to 507 of the family's 1533-position model. The record is from RNAcentral.